GGAGUGGAGCCUGCGGCUUA
Molecule: non-coding RNA, 20 nt
Filed under: Arabidopsis thaliana (thale cress)
Lineage: Eukaryota; Viridiplantae; Streptophyta; Magnoliopsida; Brassicales; Brassicaceae
Also listed under: 2 other names
Source: RNAcentral